AAUAUUCACUUUUAAUUCUUUCCACAAGGGAGGAAGGGCAUGGGUUUUGGAGCCAUUCAUAUAUGGUUUCAAAAUCUGACUCUGGCAUUUAUCUCUAAGAACUUGAGAAAUUUACUUAGUCCCUCUGAGAUUUGGUGUAUUCAGAAUGAAUAUGAUACUAACAGUACCUACAUCAUAAGUGUUACUUGAAUGGAGAUGUAUAAAGUGCAUUUUAAAUUCAUUUGUUUCCUUAACAUUUUCCCUUCAUUUCUUAUCUUUUCAGAGUUUCUUCUUCAAGGUCUCAAGGUCUGAAGCAUCCCACAGAAUGAUCCUACUGAAUAACUCCCAUAAGCUGCUGGCCCUAUACAAAUCCUUGGCCAGGAGCAUCCCUGAGUCCCUGAAGGUCAGGGAACAGUGGGAGGUCAGGGUAUGGGAGUAGGGGUGUUGAGGAUGAGAAAAUAGUAGGCUUGUGAUUCUAGUCCUUCCUGACUGUUUGCAGAGGGUUGGAGCUGGGAAACAGGAUGGGACUGGGGGCACAGGCUGCAUAUCAAGAGCUGCUGCUUCUCUUUGGGAAGAGGCAGCUAGGUCCACUCUGCAGGUUUUGCCACUCAUUUGGAGAGGCAGUGGAGCAUGGUGGCUAUGAACAUGGUUUGGAGCCUGUCUGAAUGGAUAUGCAUUCCAAGGCUGCCAUUUUCUAGUCAGAUGGCUUUGUGGAUGUUUCUUUCCCUUUCUCUGACUUUACGUUUGGUUUUUCCAUCAAUGAGAUGGGAAUAACGUUAGCACCUACCUCUUAAAGUUGCUAUGGACACUGAAUAAAUCUAUACAAUAUAAAUGCUAAGAGCAUUGCCAAGUGCCCAGCUAGUACACAGUAGCUCUUUGGUAUCACAAGGACAGUCCUACCUGUGAGUUCUGCCUGCUUGCUGGUAACUUCACGUCCAUCAGUAUGGUCCUCUCCAGGACCAUACUGCUCAUCUCACCAUCACUGACUUGGUCUCAGUACCUUCUCUUAAUCUCCAUUUUUAUCUUCCUCUUCACAACCAGAUCCUCAUCUCUGGGGAUCUCAACCUCUCCUGGUCCCUUUCAUCCCUCCUUCAGGUGUAUGGCUCUGUGUAUCACAUCAAUCACGGGAACCCCUUCAACAUGGAGGUGCUCGUGGAUUCCUGGCCUGAAUAUCAGAUGGUUAUUAUCCGGCCUCAAAAGCAGGAGAUGACUGAUGACAUGGAUUCAUACACAAACGUAUAUCGUAUGUUCUCCAAAGAGCCUCAAAAAUCAGAAGAAGUUUUGAAAAAUUGUGAGAUCGUAAACUGGAAACAGAGACUCCAAAUCCAAGGUUUUCAAGAAAGUUUAGGUGAGGGGAUAAGAGUGGCUACAUUUUCAAAGUCAGUGAAAGUAGAGCAUUCGAGAGCACUCCUCUUGGUUACGGAAGAUAUUCUGAAGCUCAAUGCCUCCAGUAAAAGCAAGCUUGGAAGCUGGGCUGAGACAGGCCACCCAGAUGAUGAAUUUGAAAGUGAAACUCCCAACUUUAAGUAUGCCCAGCUGGAUGUCUCUUAUUCUGGGCUGGUAAAUGACAACUGGAAGCGAGGGAAGAAUGAGAGGAGCCUGCAUUACAUCAAGCGCUGCAUAGAAGACCUGCCAGCAGCCUGUAUGCUCGGCCCAGAGGGAGUCCCGGUCUCAUGGGUAACCAUGGACCCUUCUUGUGAAGUAGGAAUGGCCUACAGCAUGGAAAAAUACCGAAGGACAGGCAACAUGGCACGAGUGAUGGUGCGAUACAUGAAAUAUCUGCGUCAGAAGAAUAUUCCAUUUUACAUCUCUGUGUUGGAAGAAAAUGAAGACUCCCGCAGAUUUGUGGGGCAGUUUGGUUUCUUUGAGGCCUCCUGUGAGUGGCACCAAUGGACCUGCUACCCACAGAAUCUAGUUCCAUUUUAGACAAUGAAGCUGCUUAGUAAUCUCUGCCAAGCCAUCUCUUAAUAUUAAAGCAGACACCACAGAAUAGAUUUCUUCACUUACAAAUGCAUAUUGGGCACUUAUAAUACAGCAGGAACUCUUCUCACCUGGAGCCUUGAUGUUAAAAGACACAGCCAUGCUCUUGAGGAGCUUACAAUCCUGGCUGGAGGCAGGGGAGGGUAUAUUCUUUAAAUAUGCUUAAGUGUUAUAGGGAAAGACGGGGUUACCAGUAAACAUGUAACUAGAAAGCCAGGCUCAGUUCUUACCUCUGGGAAUCAGAACUCUUUAUGCAACUUGGUUAAUAGAAUCUACUAUCUGGAAGAUAAAUGAAGGAUUUUAAUAAAAUUUUCAAUAGAAU
RNAcentral lists this small RNA (2281 nucleotides) under Pan troglodytes (chimpanzee). RNAcentral's name for it is "retained intron". The record is from RNAcentral. Lineage: Eukaryota; Metazoa; Chordata; Mammalia; Primates; Hominidae.